GACGAACCACACGAACGUUAUUCGGAAUCACUGGGCUUAAAGGGUGCGUAGGCUGCGCAGAAAGUUGGGUGUGAAAUACCUCGGCUCAACCGAGGAACUGCGCCCAAAACUACUGUGCUCGAGGGAGACAGAGGUGAGCGGAACUUAGGGUGGAGCGGUGAAAUGCGUUGAUAUCCUAAGGAACACCCGUGGCGAAAGCGGCUCACUGGGUCUCUUCUGACGCUGAGGCACGAAAGCUAGGGUAGCGAACGGG
Molecule: ribosomal RNA, 253 nt
Filed under: uncultured bacterium
Lineage: Bacteria
Description: partial 16S ribosomal RNA
Rfam family: Bacterial small subunit ribosomal RNA
Source: RNAcentral